Molecule: ribosomal RNA, 507 nt
Filed under: uncultured bacterium
Lineage: Bacteria
Description: partial 16S ribosomal RNA
Rfam family: Bacterial small subunit ribosomal RNA
Source: RNAcentral
ACGAACGCUGGCGGCGUGCCUAAUACAUGCAAGUCGAACGCUUCUUUCCUCCCGAGUGCUUGCACUCAAUUGGAAAGAGGAGCGGCGGACGGGUGAGUAACACGUGGGUAACCUACCCAUCAGAGGGGGAUAACACUUGGAAACAGGUGCUAAUACCGCAUAACAGUUUAUGCCGCAUGGCAUAAGAGUGAAAGGCGCUUUCGGGUGUCGUUGAUGGAUGGACCCGCGGUGCAUUAGCUAGUUGGUGAGGUAACGGCUCACCAAGGCCACGAUGCAUAGCCGACCUGAGAGGGUGAUCGGCCACACUGGGACUGAGACACGGCCCAGACUCCUACGGGAGGCAGCAGUAGGGAAUCUUCGGCAAUGGACGAAAGUCUGACCGAGCAACGCCGCGUGAGUGAAGAAGGUUUUCGGAUCGUAAAACUCUGUUGUUAGAGAAGAACAAGGACGUUAGUAACUGAACGUCCCCUGACGGUAUCUAACCAGAAAGCCACGGCUAACUACGUG